UACAGAGGGGGCAAGCGUUGUUCGGAAUUACUGGGCGUAAAGGGCGCGUAGGCGGCCUGUUAAGUCGAACGUGAAAUCCCCGGGCUCGACCCGGGAACUGCGUCCGAUACUGGCAGGCUUGAAUCCGGGAGAGGGAUGCGGAAUUCCAGGUGUAGCGGUGAAAUGCGUAGAUAUCAGGAGGAACACCGGUGGCGAAGGCGGGUCUCUGGGCCGAUACUGACGCUGAGGAGCGAAAGCGUGGGGAGCGAACAGG
This 253-nucleotide ribosomal RNA is filed under the name uncultured bacterium. Its description in RNAcentral is "partial 16S ribosomal RNA". It matches the Rfam family "Bacterial small subunit ribosomal RNA", at positions 524 to 776 of the family's 1533-position model. The record is from RNAcentral.